This 457-nucleotide ribosomal RNA is filed under the name uncultured bacterium. RNAcentral describes it as "bacterial SSU rRNA". It matches the Rfam family "Bacterial small subunit ribosomal RNA", at positions 75 to 507 of the family's 1533-position model. The record is from RNAcentral.
GGUGCUUGCACCUGAUUGACGAUGGAUCACCAGUGAGUGGCGGACGGGUGAGUAACACGUAGGUAACCUGCCCCGGAGCGGGGAUACAUUUGGAAACCAGAUGCUAAUACCGCAUAACACAAAAGCCACAUGGCUUUGUUGAAGAUGGCUUUGGCUAUCACUCUGGGAUGGACCUGCGGUGCAUUAGCUAGUUGGUAAGGUAACGGCUUACCAAGGCGAUGAUGCAUAGCCGAGUUGAGAGACUGAUCGGCCACAAUGGAACUGAGACACGGUCCAUACUCCUACGGGAGGCAGCAGUAGGGAAUCUUCCACAAUGGGCGCAAGCCUGAUGGAGCAACACCGCGUGAGUGAAGAAGGGUUUCGGCUCGUAAAGCUCUGUUGUUGGAGAAGAACGUGCGUGAGAGUAACUGUUCACGCAGUGACGGUAUCCAACCAGAAAGUCACGGCUAACUACGUG